UACGUAGGGUGCAAGCGUUGUCCGGAAUUAUUGGGCGUAAAGAGCUCGUAGGCGGUCUGUCGCGUCAGCUGUGAAAACCUGGGGCUCAACCCCGGGCCUGCAGCCGAUACGGGCAGACUAGAAUUCGGUAGGGGAGACUGGAAUUCCUGGUGUAGCGGUGAAAUGCGCAGAUAUCAGGAGGAACACCGGUGGCGAAGGCGGGUCUCUGGGCCGAUAUUGACGCUGGAGGAGCGAAAGCGUGGGGAGCAAACAGG
RNAcentral lists this ribosomal RNA (254 nucleotides) under uncultured bacterium. RNAcentral's name for it is "partial 16S ribosomal RNA". It matches the Rfam family "Bacterial small subunit ribosomal RNA", at positions 524 to 776 of the family's 1533-position model. The record is from RNAcentral.